UGUCCCCAGAAUGUGUUUGUGAAGUUUCAGCUCAAAAUACCCCACAGAUCAUUUAUUAUAGCUUGUCAAAUUUGCCCCUAUUUGGGUCUGAGCAAAAACACACCGUUUUUGUGUGUGUCUCUUUAAAUGCAAAUGAGCUGCUGCUCCCGGCCCCCCUUUCCAGAAGAGGGUGGAGCUUUAACAGCUUGUGCGUCGGUUGCUCAACAACAACAAAGCUGGAGAAUCUCACGCAGCCAAAAUGAGGAUCGUCAGUAACAGUGUUCAACCUUACAUUGUUCAAACCGGAGUCGGACACUGAUGGAGAGACUUAGGAAGAAGUUACAACUUUUAGAAUGAAACUGGACAUUUCUGAAUAAAUGUAUGUAGCUGCUGUGGAGUUCAACUCAUCGACUAGCAUGUGCCGUCAUGUUAAUCGACCCUGGUUUGUGAAGCAGUCCGGUGUAAAAUGACAGCAUGGCAACAACACUCUACUACAACAACACUUCCUCUUCUCUAAAGCAGCCCGACAUGGCCUCACCCCCUUUGUUGCAUGUUCCUGGAGCAGGGUUUAUGUAAAUUUUGGGGUUUGUGAUUCACCUACAUGGGAAGAAGCUCGUUGUAGUCCCUACCAGCCAUUUGUUGUAGUCCUUAAAAAGCGAUUUCUAAAAAUAUCUCCCUUUGCAAUGAACUUUGAGCAUCGUAACUUUGCAGAUGUUGUUUAUGCUCAAACAGCAACAUUACACACUAACUAAAGAAUUUUGUAUCUUAGUAGAAUUUUUGUACAAUUUGAGACAUUGUUGAGAAACAUGAAACAUCUGAGAAUCCUUCCAUUGAAAAUCACUCCAUCUGAUCUCACUGCUGUCAAAGAGAAACAACUGAGAUAGUAAAGAGAUCUCAUUUGAGAUUCUUCUUUCUUACAUUGGUACUGCAGAGAAAAAUAAAAAUAAGAGCUUUUACAAAAAAAAAAAAAAAAAAAAAGCAUCUCUUUUGCUUUUCACUAAAUUUAGACAUCAAAAAAUUAAUAUAACUGAAAGAGAUUGAGGCAGAAGCAAAGUUUUGGUUAUCUGCCAUCACAUUAGCUAAUUUUAGAUUGUGACAGAACAAAUAGGACAAAAGGAAAAAAGGAGGCAGGCCUUUCAUACCAGAGGCUAUCUAUCAUUAAAAACCCUACUGGGUAUAAAAAUAUCCCUGAGCAACAAAACUGUCAUUGGUCCUGUAGGCUUGUCAUUUAUCAAACUCUGGCCAAUUGUUGUGAGGCCAGGAGGGAAAAUGGGAAUUCUGGGAGACAUUUAUCCUGUUUUGGGGCAGGAUGCUGUUUUUGUCUCUCUCUCUCUCUUUCUUCUUCCUCUGGUUUGAUGUUAGUGAUUUCUCUUCACAGGUAUCUAGAGUGAGAAGCAGAAACCCAAGGGAAAAUAUGACACCAGCAGAAUGGCUGAUAUGGUGUUAGAUGCCUACAUGACUACAUGACUACUUUAUGAAAAAAGAGACUGCAUUUAUCAUGGAUACCUGAAGCCUGAUCUGAAGAUACAGUAACAUCCAACCAUGUGCCGCCUUUUUGCGUCAAAUCUCAAAUCUCGAGGCUUGAUGCAAAAUUUCCACCAUCAUAUAAUUCAAAGAGCUUUCAGGGCUCAAUCCAGGUGUCUACACUACAGAACAGAAAGGAAAAGAGUGGACAACUGUCCAAAGGUAAUAUUUAGUGUGCAUUAGCCUGUCC
Molecule: long non-coding RNA, 1693 nt
Organism: Ctenopharyngodon idella (grass carp)
Lineage: Eukaryota; Metazoa; Chordata; Actinopteri; Cypriniformes; Xenocyprididae
Exons: 3
Source: RefSeq, a predicted model, not a curated record